GACGAACGCUGGCGGCGUGCUUAACACAUGCCAGUCGAACGGAAAGGCCCUGCUUUUGUGGGGUUCUCGAGUGGCGAACGGGUGAGUAACACGUGAGUAACCUGCCCUUGACUUUGGGAUAACUUCAGGAAACUGGGGCUAAUACCGGAUAGGAUCUCCUGCUGCAUGGUGGGGGUUGGAAAGUUUCGGCUGUUGGGGAUGGACUCGCGGCUUAUCAGCUUGUUGGUGGGGUAGUUGCUUACCAAGGCUUUGACGGGUACCCGGCCUGAGAGGGGGACCGGCGACAUUGGGACUGAGAUACGGCGCAGACUCCUACGGGAGGCAGCAGUGGGGAAUAUUGCACAAUGGGCGGAAGCCUGAUGCAGCAACGCCGCGUGCGGGAUGACGGCCUUCGGGUUGUAAACCGCUUUAGCCUGUGACGAAGCGUGAGUGACGGUAAUGGGUAAAGAAGCACCGGCUAACUACGUG
RNAcentral lists this ribosomal RNA (468 nucleotides) under uncultured bacterium. Its description in RNAcentral is "partial 16S ribosomal RNA". It matches the Rfam family "Bacterial small subunit ribosomal RNA", at positions 28 to 507 of the family's 1533-position model. The record is from RNAcentral.